Molecule: ribosomal RNA, 465 nt
Filed under: uncultured bacterium
Lineage: Bacteria
Description: partial 16S ribosomal RNA
Rfam family: Bacterial small subunit ribosomal RNA
Source: RNAcentral
GACGAACGCUGGCGGCGUGCUUAACACAUGCAAGUCGUACGGUAAGGCCCUUUCGGGGGUACACGAGUGGCGAACGGGUGAGUAACACGUGAGUAACCUGCCCACAACUUUGGGAUAACGCUAGGAAACUGGUGCUAAUACUGGAUAUGUGCUCCUGCUGCAUGGUGGGGGUUGGAAAGCUCCGGCGGUUGUGGAUGGACUCGCGGCCUAUCAGCUUGUUGGUGGGGUAGUGGCCUACCAAGGCGGCGACGGGUAGCCGGCCUGAGAGGGUGACCGGCCACAUUGGGACUGAGAUACGGCCCAGACUCCGACGGGAGGCAGCAGGGGGGAAUAUUGCACAAUGGGCGCAAGCCUGAUGCAGCAACGCCGCGGGCGGGAGGACGGCCUUCGGGUUGUAAACCGCUUUCAGCAGGGACGAAGCUUUUUGUGACGGUACCUGCAGAAGAAGCACCGGCUAACUACGUG